RNAcentral lists this ribosomal RNA (270 nucleotides) under uncultured bacterium. Its description in RNAcentral is "partial 16S ribosomal RNA". It matches the Rfam family "Bacterial small subunit ribosomal RNA", at positions 30 to 289 of the family's 1533-position model. The record is from RNAcentral.
AGCGAACGCUGGCGGCGUGCCUAACACAUGCAAGUCGAGCGAACCGUUUGGGGAAACUCGGACGGUUAGCGGCGGACGGGUGAGUAACACGUGGGUAACCCACCUGGGGGACCGGGAUAACGGCUCGAAAGGGCCGCUAAUACCGGAUACGCUCCCUGGGGCACAAGCCUCGGGGAGGAAAGGUCGCGCAAGCAGCCACUCCCGGACGGGCCCGCGGCCCAUUAGCUAGUUGGCGGGGUAACGGCCCACCAAGGCGAUGAUGGGUAGCCG